UAUCAACUUUGGAUAACCGUUUAUAUUAUCGGUUCUUUCAACGUUUAAACUAUAAUAUUUUGUCUGAUAAAAACUUAAAUAAUUAGAUUGCAAUCAUGAGAUGAAUGAUGGUUGGAUAAAUCUUUAUAAAAGAAUUAGGCUUAGUUUGGUAUUGAGGUUUAAUCUAAGUUGAGGAAAAAGCAUAUAGAAAUAUGCUUCUGCGUUCUCCGAUAGGACAGAAAAUAUAUCUUAACCGACUCAUUGCGAUAUGCGGAACGUAAUAUUACGUAAGAAAACAAAUAUGAUAUUUUUCCAAUGUAUUUUCUCAUCGCAUGUAACGCAAUUUCCUUGCAAACCCAAACGAAUUUUAAUAAUAUUAUUAAAAUAUAACUGAUCUUGAUAUUAACAAAUAAAGAAACUGAAUUUGGAUUCUAGUUUUAGU
This 421-nucleotide long non-coding RNA is filed under the name Ananas comosus (pineapple). RNAcentral's name for it is "long non-coding RNA (ACOM_LNC012842)". The record is from RNAcentral. Lineage: Eukaryota; Viridiplantae; Streptophyta; Magnoliopsida; Poales; Bromeliaceae.